AAUAAUUUAAAAAAACUAAACACGUUCUCUUUCACAAACACGGGAAUACACCACUCUCGGCAAAACACGAUCUCACCCUGAUUUGGAUAAUCUCGAUCUCGCUCCCUAAUCUCGACCUCAAUCUCGCCAUUGAUCUCAAUCCCCAUCCAACUUUUGUUACUGAUUUGCAUGGUUCGUUGUCUCCGAUUUCACUUUCCAAUCUGCACAAUCUCCCUCCGAUCUGUGCGCAACCUCCAAUCUUCACCGUGUUUUCUAUUUGAUUCAUAUGUCAACUCUUACAAUCUGUUAUACAAACUUGCAAAUGGUGAAUUCAUAAGUCUGUUUCUUUAGGUAUCUUGAAGAUCGCUGAGUCAGCUACUGGAUGUAAGCUGAUCUUUGUUUAUAACAUGGAAACCUCAUUGAUCCUGUUCAAAGGAAGGUGCAAACAUUACUGAAGUCUACACUUGCUGAUGCAGUUUCCAUUAUCCGAGCAAAUCCUACUGUUUUGGAAGGUCUUGGUGCUUAUUUGAAAGAAAUAAAACACCAUCCCUAAGGCAACGAAGGAUAGACAUUGGUUAUGGUUCAGAUAAUACUGUUACUUUCUAUCAUUGCAACGAAGGAUAGGCUCUCUCAGAUUACCGGUUAGCAAAAACGGUGUGACAGUGUUGGGAGAAUAUCCGGUGAUAGUGGGUGUAAGGAAUCAUAGUUCUACAAAAGAGAAAUGAAUUCACUGAUCUCAAAACGGGUCGCUGUCCCAACAUCGUCAAGAGAAGAUAAAUGUCUACACCAUAAGGUCAGCAUAGAGAAUCCCGCUAGUAGCAGGCCCAGGCACUGGAAAAGCUGGCCGAUGUAUUCAUUGAAGGAUAAGUUAUCCUUAUGAUUUCUAAAUUACAACUGAUUGGUGUGCACCGAUUCAAAUAUUUUUAAUGUUUAUCUUUACAAUCGUAUAAUCAGUAGGAAUGGUGUUUAGUUAGAGGAUCUUUACACCAUAAGUGUAUCUUUGACAUGUUGUACUUUGCAUAUUAUAGAUGGCUUUUUGAAUUCCAUAUGCAAGUGUAACUGUUAUAAAUUGAUGCCAUCUAACUUUAUUUCAAAACACAGAAGUAUAAUUACAGGAAAUGUCUUCACCUCGCUAGUACACCAGCUUCGAGGUCAUAUUGUCAUACGGUAAUCCUUCCAAUGUUUGGAGUAAAAAAGGUUCGUCAUGAGAAUUCGGCUCUAACAACACUCGAGGAUGGAUCGUGCUUAAUUUCAUCUGUGAAGGUUUAGGCUUGGAUUACCGAGAUGUCGAACCAUCUAGAUCUGUCAGCGUCACACCUCUUUGAUGACCUUUCAUUCGAUCAGUCAGUCAGCAAAGAGAUGAGUCUUCUUAUAAGUGAUUUACUUUACUGUGACUACUAAGUGUUUGAUAGAAUGUCAUGUGUGUUAUGAUCUGUUGUUGAAAACACUUAGAAAAGUUUAUGUGAAUGUCUAGAGUUCGUGUAGUUAUAAUAACUGAUGUUAAACCGUGAUGAAUGGCUGCUAAACCGAGCUGUUCCAACUGCUGUUCUGAGUGUUGGAGGGGACGUAAAGUGUCGUGCCUGUUUAUGAGAAAUGCUGAGAUUUCAUAGUAACUUAAUCAAUGAAUAUGCUCUAAGAAUUUGAUUGUGCAGCUAGGGAACAUUUGAUAUGCGGAGAUUUCAUAAUAACUUAACUGUUAUGGAUGAACAUUUAAUAUGCGGAGAUUUCAUAAUAACUUAACUGUUAUGGUUCAGAUAACACUGUCACUGUUGUAAUGGUAGACAUGUUUAAAUGUUAGUAGAUGCAAGUGUAUAGGGAGUUAGUAGUUAAAAUCUAUUUAGUAAACCAAAAUAGAAUGUGAUGUGAUUUUGAUGUAUUUUGCUUUUGUUAAUGAUAUUAAAUAUUGCUUUUUA
This is a long non-coding RNA of Vicia villosa (hairy vetch), 1892 nucleotides long. RefSeq lists it as uncharacterized. The transcript has 4 exons. The record is from RefSeq and is a predicted model, not a curated record. Lineage: Eukaryota; Viridiplantae; Streptophyta; Magnoliopsida; Fabales; Fabaceae.